RNAcentral lists this long non-coding RNA (1169 nucleotides) under Varanus komodoensis (Komodo dragon). RNAcentral describes it as "lncRNA (ENSVKKG00000013760.1)". The record is from RNAcentral. Lineage: Eukaryota; Metazoa; Chordata; Lepidosauria; Squamata; Varanidae.
CCCAGGUGGAAGACCGGAUCCACGGGGCCACGACGGAGGAGUGCCGGGAGGCCCUGCGGCUGAGCGGGUGGGAUGCCCAGAAAGCUGUGCAGAUGCUGAAGGUGGACCAGCUCUUCCACAUCAGCUCCCACUCGCGGGAGGAGUGCCGGCACAUCCUGGAGAAGCACCGCUGGAACCUGGCCAUGGCCUCGCGCUACGUGCUCAGCCGGAAACUCCGCACCUGACUGGCGGGCCCCGCGCUCCUCGCAGCCCCCGUGCCGAGCAACACCCUCCCUGCACUGGUGGCCACCGCGAGGCGCCGGGAUGCCCCCCUCCCCAUCCACAGAAGGGGGCCUUUUGCAGAACGUUCCCACUGGGUGGUGCGGAGGCAUCCAAGACUCCUGCCUGCGCGCCAACCACCCCCCCGCAAGGAAGUGCGCCUCUCAGGGUUACUUUGUUGUUGGUGGAGACUAUCAAAGGUGCUAGUCCUCUUGGAGGCAAACUCGGGCUUGGGUUGCACACUUCUGGACUCAACAGGACUGAAUUGUCUUCCAUGCUGCAGGAUGUUGUUUAACACUCCGACAAGGAUGUGACUUGCCUAAAGGAGGUGGCUGGGAGACCGGGGGCUUCAUCCAGGAUUGCCUUCCACCCACCGGGGGGCUCUUCCCUGGACAGACCAGAGGCCCCCAUGAUGAAUUUCGGCAGCACUCCUGUGGCUCGCUGUGUGAACGUCUCCCUUUCGCGAGAUCUGCUUUCACGGAGCUUAGAGAAGUGCUUAUUCCUUCUCGACCAAGCCUGCGCUUUUCGGCCACGUUCCUGAGCACAUGCUCCAAACUCAUCCAAUUAAGUCGCUUCGCGUUUACCGCAAGCAUCACGCCACGACGAGCUGAGCUGCACGGAGGGGCCGGCCGGCCGCUUCCUAUCCAUGGGAUGGCAUCCAAUCCUAAAGGGAGAACCCAGCACGGGGAGGGGGGGGGUCACAGCGGUGGUGCAAAACUACAACUCCCAAAAUGCACUUCGAGAGCGCAGCUGCAAAGCCUUGCUCUCUCCAGAAGCGGACCACGAGGAAGCAGCUGAAGGAUUGCAUGUUCGCCUGGGUGCGUGUCCCAACCCUUUGUGCGUCUGGGAGCGCAUGUGGAGUGCGUGGUGUUACAUUUGUACAUACAGAAUAAACUGACCUCGCAGCAGCA